This 776-nucleotide ribosomal RNA is filed under the name uncultured Microcoleus sp. RNAcentral describes it as "partial 16S ribosomal RNA". It matches the Rfam family "Bacterial small subunit ribosomal RNA", at positions 1 to 811 of the family's 1533-position model. Lineage: Bacteria; Bacillati; Cyanobacteriota; Cyanophyceae; Oscillatoriales; Microcoleaceae. The record is from RNAcentral.
GGCCGCGGGAAUUCGAUUAGAGUUUGAUCCUGGCUCAGGAUGAACGCUGGCGGUCUGCUUAACACAUGCAAGUCGAACGCAACCUUCGGGUUGAGUGGCGGACGGGUGAGUAACGCGUGAGAAUCUGCCUUGGGGUCGGGGACAACCACUGGAAACGGUGGCUAAUACCGGAUAAGCCUUCGGGUAAAAGAUUUAUUGCCCCAAGAGGAGCUCGCGUCUGAUUAGCUAGUUGGUAGGGUAAAAGCCUACCAAGGCAGCGAUCAGUAGCUGGUCUGAGAGGACGAUCAGCCACACUGGGACUGAGACACGGCCCAGACUCCUACGGGAGGCAGCAGUGGGGAAUUUUCCGCAAUGGGCGAAAGCCUGACGGAGCAAGACCGCGUGAGGGAGGAAGGCUCUUGGGUUGUAAACCUCUUUUCUCAGGGAAGAAGCUCUGACGGUACCUGAGGAAUCAGCCUCGGCUAACUCCGUGCCAGCAGCCGCGGUAAUACGGAGGAGGCAAGCGUUAUCCGGAAUUAUUGGGCGUAAAGCGUCCGCAGGUGGCGAUUCAAGUCUGCUGUCAAAGCACGGGGCUUAACUCCGUUAAGGCAGUGGAAACUGAAUAGCUAGAGUGCCGUAGGGGUAGAGGGAAUUCCCGGUGUAGCGGUGAAAUGCGUAGAGAUCGGGAAGAACAUCGGUGGCGAAAGCGCUCUACUGGACGGCAACUGACACUCAGGGACGAAAGCUAGGGGAGCGAAUGGGAUUAGAUAUCCCAGUCAUCGACGUGUAAAACGAUG